Molecule: ribosomal RNA, 357 nt
Filed under: uncultured bacterium
Lineage: Bacteria
Description: bacterial SSU rRNA
Rfam family: Bacterial small subunit ribosomal RNA
Source: RNAcentral
GCUAAUGCCGGAUAGGCAACUGGUAGGCAUCUACCGGUUGGGAAAGGUGCAACUGCACCGCAGAUGGAGGAGCCCGCGGCGCAUUAGCUAGUUGGUGGGGUAACGGCCCACCAAGGCGACGAUGCGUAGCCGACCUGAGAGGGUGACCGGCCACACUGGGACUGAGACACGGCCCAGACUCCUACGGGAGGCAGCAGUAGGGAAUCUUCGGCAAUGGGCGAAAGCCUGACCGAGCAACGCCGCGUGAGCGAAGAAGGCCUUCGGGUUGUAAAGCUCAGUCACCCGGGAAGAGCGGGCAGGAGAGGGAAUGCUCCUGUCGAGACGGUACCGGGAGAGGAAGCCCCGGCUAACUACGUG